UACGGAGGGUGCAAGCGUUAAUCGGAAUUACUGGGCGUAAAGCGCACGCAGGUGGCUGAGUCAGUCGAUUGUGAAAGCCCUGGGCUUAACCUGGGAAUUGCAGUCGAUACUACUCAGCUAGAGUAUGGGAGAGGGAAGUGGAAUUCCCGGUGUAGUGGUGAAAUGCGUAGAUAUCGGGAGGAACACCAGUGGCGAAGGCGACUUCCUGGCCUGCUCUUGACGCUGAGGCGCGAAAGCUAGGGGAGCAAACGGG
Molecule: ribosomal RNA, 253 nt
Filed under: uncultured bacterium
Lineage: Bacteria
Description: partial 16S ribosomal RNA
Rfam family: Bacterial small subunit ribosomal RNA
Source: RNAcentral